Small nuclear RNA from Zalophus californianus (California sea lion), 104 nucleotides. Lineage: Eukaryota; Metazoa; Chordata; Mammalia; Carnivora; Otariidae. The record is from Ensembl.
AUGCUCGUUUUGGCAGCACAUAUACUAAAGCUGGAAGGAUAGAGAGAUUAGCAUGGCCCCUGCACAAGGAUGACACAUAAAUAUCUGUGAAUAUAUAUAAUAAG